Molecule: ribosomal RNA, 1346 nt
Filed under: uncultured bacterium
Lineage: Bacteria
Description: partial 16S ribosomal RNA
Rfam family: Bacterial small subunit ribosomal RNA
Source: RNAcentral
GACGAACGCUGGCGGCGUGCUUAACACAUGCAAGUCGAACGGAAAGGCCCUGCUUUUGUGGGGUGCUCGAGUGGCGAACGGGUGAGUAACACGUGAGUAACCUGCCCUUGACUUUGGGAUAACUUCAGGAAACUGGGGCUAAUACCGGAUAGGAGCUCCUGCUGCAUGGUGGGGGUUGGAAAGUUUCGGCGGUUGGGGAUGGACUCGCGGCUUAUCAGCUUGUUGGUGGGGUAGUGGCUUACCAAGGCUUUGACGGGUAGCCGGCCUGAGAGGGUGACCGGCCACAUUGGGACUGAGAUACGGCCCAGACUCCUACGGGAGGCAGCAGUGGGGAAUAUUGCACAAUGGGCGGAAGCCUGAUGCAGCAACGCCGCGUGCGGGAUGACGGCCUUCGGGUUGUAAACCGCUUUCGCCUGUGACGAAGCGUGAGUGACGGUAAUGGGUAAAGAAGCACCGGCUAACUACGUGCCAGCAGCCGCGGUGAUACGUAGGGUGCGAGCGUUGUCCGGAUUUAUUGGGCGUAAAGGGCUCGUAGGUGGUUGAUCGCGUCGGAAGUGUAAUCUUGGGGCUUAACCCUGAGCGUGCUUUCGAUACGGGUUGACUUGAGGAAGGUAGGGGAGAAUGGAAUUCCUGGUGGAGCGGUGGAAUGCGCAGAUAUCAGGAGAAACACCAGUGGCGAAGGCGGUUCUCUGGGCCUUUCCUGACGCUGAGGAGCGAAAGCGUGGGGAGCGAACAGGCUUAGAUACCCUGGUAGUCCACGCUGUAAACGGUGGGUACUAGGUGUGGGGUCCAUUCCACGGGUUCCGUGCCGUAGCUAACGCUUUAAGUACCCCGCCUGGGGAGUACGGCCGCAAGGCUAAAACUCAAAGGAAUUGACGGGGCCCCGCACAAGCGGCGGAGCAUGCGGAUUAAUUCGAUGCAACGCGUAGAACCUUACCUGGGUUUGACAUGGAUCGGGAGUGCUCAGAGAUGGGUGUGCCUCUUUUGGGGUCGGUUCACAGGUGGUGCAUGGCUGUCGUCAGCUCGUGUCGUGAGAUGUUGGGUUAAGUCCCGCAACGAGCGCAACCCUUGUUCACUGUUGCCAGCACGUUAUGGUGGGGACUCAGUGGAGACCGCCGGGGUCAACUCGGAGGAAGGUGGGGAUGACGUCAAGUCAUCAUGCCCCUUAUGUCCAGGGCUUCACGCAUGCUACAAUGGCUGGUACAGAGAGUGGCGAGCCUGUGAGGGUGAGCGAAUCUCGGAAAGCCGGUCUCGGUUCGGAUUGGGGUCUGCAACUCGACCUCAUGAAGUCGGAGUCGCUAGUAAUCGCAGAUCAGCAACGCUGCGGUGAAUACGUUCCCGGGGCU